Molecule: long non-coding RNA, 2216 nt
Organism: Dermochelys coriacea (leatherback sea turtle)
Lineage: Eukaryota; Metazoa; Chordata; Testudines; Dermochelyidae
Exons: 2
Source: RefSeq, a predicted model, not a curated record
UCAGAGGUUCAAUCUUUACUCCUGCCAUAUCCAGAUAGCAGGUUCUCAGAGAUUUGUGGGGUCAGUGGUUUUAUUCAAGGUACUUCUUUCUACAAAAGAUGGUGGGUUUUCAUCCUAUCUUUGAUCUAAGGAAGCUAAUACUUUUAUGUGAUGGUUCCAGUUUUAAAUGUUGAUCCUAGCUUCCAUUGUAUCCUCCCUUUCUACCAUGGAGCCAAAAUAGGUAGCAAUACAUUUAUCAGUUAAUAAAUUAGAUUUCACUUGUAAAAAUGAAUACUUUGGGUGGUCUAGUGGAUAGGACCCAGCCUGAGACUCAGAAGAUGUCUAUUGCCCUCUCUGCCACUGAGCUGCUGUAUAACCUGGAUUAUUAAUUAUGUGGAUGCUGGAAGACCUUGGAGAUGAUGCAUUCCUGUGUGCUGUUUUGGCUGGCAUUUGGAUCGUAGGGCUACUCCUCUGAUGGUAUGAAUCCAGAACUUGGUGUGCCCCCAGUGUGGGAAAACUUCCUGUGGAUGACAGUGCCGUGCAAAGGGAAUGAUGCAGUGGAAAUUGAUGUCGCCCCGGUGACCAGAAAAGUCUCAAGCAGUGCUGUCAAUGCCUCCUGGAAGUGGUCAGAUGUCAGUGGGACAGAAGUGAUCCCACCCAUGACUCAUCUCCAGAUGCCAUAAUGAAGGGCUAUCUGCUUUGGUGGACAGAAAAAAAAAAUACUGCUUUGGGACUGUAAAUUGGUGACAAAUGUUAGUUUAAAGUUUUAGUUUUUUCCACCUGUAAACCCCAACCCCGUUGUGUUCAUUUAUGAAUUGAUAUCCCCAACGGGACAGCAUCAGGGGAAGAGAUAAUUAAUUUUAGGCUGAAACACUCCCUUUUAUACCCAAACAUUGGGUAGAAAAGUUUGGGGUGAGGCAAGAUUACAGAUAAGGAUACUAGGAGGGGAAUGGGAAGCUCUUUUGCCUUGCACUUGGGAGGCCCUAGGUCCUCAGGAAAUUUAUAAAAGGGAUAAAGGAUGUCUGAAUAACAGGAUGGUUAAAUGGUGUUUUGGUAAAAUGAUUAAAAGGUAUAGAAGUGUGAAUUCUGUAACCACCUGUAAUUGAUUUGAUUGGAGCAUGUGUGGUUGAAAUCAAUGGGAAGAAGCAUACAGAGAUGAAGGUAAAGAGUAAAGUGAAUUAUGGUAAGCGUGUGGAUGUACAGUAGACAAUGAAACAAUAUGCAUGAGGUGGUUGUGAAUAAUAUGAAUGCAAUGGAUCAACACCUAAAAGAUUUAGCAAUGCCCCUGCGGGUAUUUUUAGAUCAGCUAAGCUGCAUACAGGAUGGGGUGACAGGUUUUAGAGAAAUGGGCGCAAUACCAAGAAAAGGACCACUUCCACCUCUUGCAAGCUGUUGGUGCCCUCCACAGUAAUGUUUCCUUGGCCCUGACAUGCAUGCAAAUGCAGAUGUGGAUUACUGAUAUGUAAAGAAUCUUUACAUUUGAGAUUCUUUUGAGAUGGUACGAAUGGGAUACUCACAUUGGAAAUUAGGAACCUGCUUAGAAGAAUUUGGGAUUGAAUAUGAAUGUACCACAAAUACCUUGCAGCUACAAGAUCUAUGUUUAGAAUAGAGAGAAUAUGCCUGUAUUUAUUUAAAUGAAUUUGAUUGUUGUAAAAUGUUAACUAAGCAUUCCUAUUUAAGGAAUUAUUGGUAAGUUGCUAGGCAGGAGGCACACAGAAUCAUGGUUACCAUCCACCACGCUUCUAAUUAGAUUAAGUGACAGAGGGUUAGCAGCAAUUCGGAACAAAAUUAGUGGGAGAUGUUAUUGAGAUGGUCCCCCACAGAACUGGGGAUUUAAUUUGGCCUUGCAUUUAAUUGUGGUGAGGUUCUAAUGUUUCAGGUGGCGUUGGUGAUUGUGCUUCUAGUAUGGAUAUGCUGGAUCUGGAGGAAGAUUGAUCGGUUGCAAAGCCAGCGGUUCUAUAGACCACGGUACUCCCUGGAGAGAUGUACAUGAAGUCUGGUACUUAACGAGAAAGUCAGGAGUGAAACGGGAGAGUGCCAGCGAGAAGAUUUUGUCUCAGUCAAGAGCCUUGAGACUAAUGCUGGACCUUCAAAAGUAACCAACGGAACUCUUUUUAUAUAUAUAUAUAUAUAUAUAUCUCUAAAGGCCUUUAUUAAAAAUAUGUGGCCUUUAAGGAGGGGAAUGUUGCACUGUAUUUGAGGGGUGUGUAUACCCCAGAAUGUGAUCAAGCUAAUUG